This 242-nucleotide ribosomal RNA is filed under the name uncultured Variovorax sp. Its description in RNAcentral is "partial 16S ribosomal RNA". It matches the Rfam family "Bacterial small subunit ribosomal RNA", at positions 112 to 355 of the family's 1533-position model. The record is from RNAcentral. Lineage: Bacteria; Pseudomonadati; Pseudomonadota; Betaproteobacteria; Burkholderiales; Comamonadaceae.
AAUACAUCGGAACGUGCCCAAUCGUGGGGGAGUAACGCAGCGAAAGCUGUGCUAAUACCGCAUACGAUCUACGGAUGAAAGCAGGGGAUCGCAAGACCUUGCGCGAAUGGAGCGGCCGAUGGCAGAUUAGGUAGUUGGUGAGGUAAAGGCUCACCAAGCCUUCGAUCUGUAGCUGGUCUGAGAGGACGACCAGCCACACUGGGACUGAGACACGGCCCAGACUCUUACGGGGGGCAGCAGCC